RNAcentral lists this transfer RNA (75 nucleotides) under Okeania hirsuta. RNAcentral's name for it is "tRNA-Lys". It matches the Rfam family "tRNA". Rfam says of the family: Transfer RNA (tRNA) molecules are approximately 80 nucleotides in length. The record is from RNAcentral. Lineage: Bacteria; Bacillati; Cyanobacteriota; Cyanophyceae; Oscillatoriales; Microcoleaceae.
GGGUCGCUAGCUCAACGGUAGAGUACUCGGCUUUUAACCGAUUUGUUCCGGGUUCGAAUCCCGGGCGACCCACUA